GCGCAGCUAUGAGACGUACAAUAAAGGCGUGAGCAAACGGGCUGUAUCCAAUCAACGCAGGAGUCGCGGUGUUUAUGUUUAGGCCGCGGCUUUCGCCCAAUGAGCGCAAAGAUCCCAGAAGUCAAGAGAGUGACGCAGGGCCUGUCCAAUCACCGCCGUUGGCUGGGGGUAGGCGUGACUGUCUUGUACAUUGGUGAAGUUACCGCCCUCAUCGUGAGUGAAGCGACACUAGGCCAAUCACCACGGAUUUACCGGUCUCAGCUGAGCGUCGAAGCUUUUGUCCAAUCGGCGCCGAGAUUUCGGCAGGAGGCGGGAGGGAUACGGCUCUCGUCCAAUCACAAUUUUAAUUCCAAGACUUUACUGAAUUACGGCGGGAGGUGACACUUCCGAGAAAUGUCCACUGGGCGGCGACAGAGAUACACGAGUCUAUGGAGACGGACUCGGCAGGAGCUGUUUCUCUCUGGAGUGAAGCUCUCUUGGGAAGAAACGAGCAAAGUCUUCAGACUCUUUCUAAUUGAGACAUCAUGACAGCUGUGCCAACAUGAUCUUCAUUGACCCGUUGAACCUGUUUGUGUAAAGAGCAGGAGUACUGUGUACCCCUAUUGUGUUAUGUGUACUCUAAUGUGUUUUUUUCUGUUUUCUAUUUUUAUUUCACAAGUCGGACCCGGGCAGUAGCCUGUGUCUUCAGCGCUCGUCCUGCCUAGGUGAUAGACUUGGCACAGAAACAGAACCCACUGCCGUCGUGUCUGUGGGUUUCUUUGCUCCCCUGUCUUGUUUGCAAACUUUUUUCCUGUGUUUAUUUUACUUUGUUAAAUAAUAUGUUGUUGCCAGAGCAACCGUACUACAGAAAUUGUUGCAGGAGCGGGUCUGACCUCCAGCACGUAAACAGCCGACGUUUUAAAUCUAAUCGGCGAGGAAAACAGGAGCUGUAGCUCAAAACUCGUUGUCAGGACCAUCUUUGUGGAUAUUACAUGAGUGAGGAAGAAACGUUGAGAAGCGGAGCCGGUCGUGUGUCGCAGGCUAUGGGACAGGACUGUUAGGGAAACACGCAGCAGGCGGAGAAAUAUCAGUGCUGGACACCAGACUCACACCGCUGGGCUCACCGGAGUCUCCGGUCACAACAUUAUCUGCAAGUGGAUGUGAAAAGGUUUCUCUGGACUGCAGUCCUCUUGCACUCUGCUUAGGAUGUGCUGUGCUGUUCUCUACAACAUAAGACCCUUUGUUGGAAGGAAUGGGAAGCUAUAGGCAGAAUCCCAAUCUCUGAUACAUCUAAUCAAAACAGUUUCAAGUCAGAAGGAUGGGCGUCUCCAAGCCGGUCUCUGCAGCUGAGGCUCUGAGGAGCUCCCGACAGACACGAGUGGAGCUUCGCUUUCAACACCACUGUGGUCAGUAAAGGUUUAAUAUUCUUAAACACGAGAGCUGGAGUUUCUCUGAA
Lepisosteus oculatus (spotted gar) is the source of this 1435-nucleotide non-coding RNA. NCBI's taxonomy places the organism in Eukaryota, Metazoa, Chordata, Actinopteri, Semionotiformes, Lepisosteidae. The record is from RefSeq and is a predicted model, not a curated record.